This 221-nucleotide long non-coding RNA is filed under the name Malus domestica (apple). RNAcentral describes it as "long non-coding RNA (MDOM_LNC017693)". The record is from RNAcentral. Lineage: Eukaryota; Viridiplantae; Streptophyta; Magnoliopsida; Rosales; Rosaceae.
AAAUAUUGUGGGAGAAUGAUCUCGUAAUCACGAAACUUCUAAGUAUCGGAAUGUGGUAUCGUCUUGACUUGCCUUAUCUGUCUCAUAGGUAGAUGUGGCAUCUUCUCUGGAAGUACUCUUCCCUCCAUCCAGGGGUGGUAUCUUUAACUGGUGGAGAUGCACAAGGUAAUGUAUCAAUUUCACUUGAAGCUUACUUGUAGUUUCAGGCUUGGUCAAGCGCG